Molecule: long non-coding RNA, 1811 nt
Filed under: Capsicum annuum
Lineage: Eukaryota; Viridiplantae; Streptophyta; Magnoliopsida; Solanales; Solanaceae
Description: long non-coding RNA (CANN_LNC009006)
Source: RNAcentral
GGAAAAGGCCCUGGCAUAUCCUGACACUAAAAGGAACAUAGAGAAAUUGUCAUAUCUAAAUUUGCCCCAAGUAGAAAGGAGGCUCCCCAAUAGCAGAAGAUGAUAAUCCUAAUGAUGUGCUUGACCACAGACUUCAGAUCCAAAACCUACAUCAUGAAACGAUGUAGCGCCAAAGACGAUCAAUACGUGGAGUGUAUUAGUAUGCAAAACAAUUUCAGAAGGGUAGUACAACAAGAGAUUAGAAGUAACAAUGAAAUUCAAAUAUAAGUGAAGGCAAUUGGAAAGGAACAAGAGUGUAAACUAAAUUUAUAAUUGACCAAGUAAAGUAGAUUUAAUUCCUUUGAUUAUUUGUGGGAGAAAGUAGUGAACCGUCAUAAACUACCAUGUGAGCGCAUGGAGUCUAAUCACGGCCCGAUCAGCUAAGCCAUCCUAUACCUUGCCGGGCAUAGGACGUGACAUGACAUAAUUUGCUAUCAAGUAUCCAUGGUUAGUCCCUUUUUGGGACACAUAAAAAAAAAGAGUCAUUUGACUUACAAAAUAAUAUCUAUCCUAUGUCGGCAAACAUAGUUUCGGGCAUUUGUCAUUUCAACGUAUGCCUUCACGGUCAGCUAACUAACUCCCUUAUGCUCAUGACGUUAUCUUAUUUAUUUGAUUAGCUCUUGAUCAAAAUGUUAGCCUUGGAAGGAUCAUGCUCAUGGUUUAGCCAUUUUAGGCUCACAUACAUAUAUUUGCCGUUUUAGGCUAAUGAUCAUGAAUUUGUCCUUUAGGACUCAUGCUUGGAAAAUCAACCCUUUUGGUAUCAUGCCUCAUGAAUUAUUAUAGUUAUUGAGCAUUUGGGGUGUCAUGAAUGAGGAUAUUGCUCUUACAUACUGUGCAAUAUAUUUACUUAAUAAUAGAGUAGGAUAUUUUUGAAUUAGCGAUGUAACAUUAUGUUCUUUUUUGUUGUCUGAAUGUUGCAGCGAGAGAACAAGUAGUCUGUGCUGGUUCAUGUUUUGUGAUUAUGCAGUUGAAAAAGAAAGUAAAGAAGCAUAUUGCAGCUACAAGGCUACGGCAAUGGUGUAUCAGAUAAGGACUGCUCGAAAGUGGACCGUGUACAAAAACCACGUUAUAGACGGAUAUACAAUCUCACAAUGAAGUCAAAGAAAGAGUGGAUACAUUUAGAAAUUCAAAAAAAUAACUAGGAGAUGUCACCUUUGAUCAACAAAUUAGGUAAAAAAAUAACUAGGAGAGGUCACCUUUGAUCAACAAAUUAUGUAAUUAGUUCUCUCUCACUUCUUUUAAAUAGUGGGGUGCUCUCUACGUGUAAUUGCUUACUUUCCAGAUUGUAAAUAUUUUACAGUUAUUGCCAAAAACGUCAAUGAUUCAUACAUCAAAUCACAAGGGUUGUUGAAACUCACAAAAUUCAGAAAAGAAGAACAUGAAACAGAGAGUUAUCUGUACACACCCAACAACUACUAAACCAUUCAAUUUCAUUGAUAAGAUUGUAGAAAUAAUUUGAAUUGGAUAACAGUAAAACGUCCAGAAACGAGAGUAAGAAAUGGUUCUACAUACCUCAAAACGUUUGAAAGAACUUGAAAUUGGAAGAAGAAAUUUGUACUUGAUUUUCGAUCAAGUCCCUUGUGUUUCUUGGAGUUGAAUCUGGAUAUUUUCUGAUGGAAAACAUAUGAAAACUGAUUGAAAAGUAAAGCUUUUAUCGUGUGAAUCUUGAGGAAAAGAGAAGGACUCUUCUUUUUUUUAACGCACGAAACUGAUGUGAAUAGAGGGGAUUUUAUCUGCUGGAAAAGAAACUAACGCCUCUGCUGAAAAUAAAA